RNAcentral lists this small nucleolar RNA (114 nucleotides) under Echinops telfairi (small Madagascar hedgehog). Its description in RNAcentral is "Small nucleolar RNA SNORA70 (ENSETEG00000025197.1)". It matches the Rfam family "Small nucleolar RNA SNORA70". Rfam says of the family: snoRNA U70 seems to be exclusive to mammals and is a member of the H/ACA class of snoRNA which contain H (ANANNA) and ACA box motifs. H/ACA box snoRNAs are involved in the conversion of uridines to pseudouridines (5-ribosyluracil) a constituent of structural RNAs (transfer, ribosomal, small nuclear, and small nucleolar). The record is from RNAcentral. Lineage: Eukaryota; Metazoa; Chordata; Mammalia; Afrosoricida; Tenrecidae.
CUGCAGCCUAGUAAGUUGACUGUCCUCCCUCCUGUGGGGGUUGGUGCAAUGGCUGUAAGCAGCACCCUCCUUAGUAGCAUGUACAGGGUGCCCUAAGGGGUCUGGGAGACAACC